GGGUGCGAUCAUACCAGCACUAAUGCACCGGAUCCCACCAGAACUCCGAUGUUCAACGUGCUUGGGCGAGAGUAGUACUAAGAUGGGUGACCUCUUGGGAAGUCCUCGUGUUGCACCCC
This is a non-coding RNA of Ricinus communis (castor bean), 119 nucleotides long. The record is from Rfam. NCBI's taxonomy places the organism in Eukaryota, Viridiplantae, Streptophyta, Magnoliopsida, Malpighiales, Euphorbiaceae.